Molecule: ribosomal RNA, 775 nt
Filed under: uncultured Neocallimastigales
Lineage: Eukaryota; Fungi; Neocallimastigomycota; Neocallimastigomycetes; Neocallimastigales
Description: partial large subunit ribosomal RNA
Rfam family: Eukaryotic large subunit ribosomal RNA
Source: RNAcentral
UACUAGAGUAGCACUCGCAUAUCAAUAAGCGGAGGAAAAGAAACUAACAAGGAUUCCCCUAGUAACGGCGAGUGAAGCGGGAAGAGCUCAAAUUUGAAAUCUUAAAGGGUUUCCCUUUACGAAUUGUAGUUUAAAGAAGUGUUUUCUGUUGAGGUUUUGGUAAAAGUUCUUUGGAAUAGGACAUCAUAGAGGGUGAGAAUCCCGUAUUUGACCUUUACUUUCAACUUUGUGAUACACUUUCAAAGAGUCGGAUUGUUUGGGAAUGCAGUCCAAAAUGGGUGGUAAAUUUCAUCUAAAGCUAAAUAUUGGCGAGAGACCGAUAGCGAACAAGUACCGUGAGGGAAAGAUGAAAAGAACUUUGAAAAGAGAGUUAAACAGUACGUGAAAUUGUCAAAAGGGAAGCGUUUGACACCAGUGUUGUCUUUCUGAAAAUCAAUUAAAGAACUGUUUAUGCUAAGCUGUUUAGACUUUAUCAGCUAAUCUGUUUAGUUUUGAGCUUUUCUUUAAUGCACUUUUCAGUUAACAAGUCAACAUCAAUUUCUUUUGCUGUAAAAAAGCUUGAGGAAGGUGGCUUGAGAUUCGUCUUAAGUGUUUAUAGCCUCUUGCCUAUGCAGUCGGAGAGAUUGAGGUCUGCAGCGUAGAUCCUUCGGGGCUAAAUGCAUUUGUGCUAAGUUAUAGCAUUUUAUAGACAACUUGUUGACUAUGAUUUGUCUUGUAGCUUACUCGCUUAUGUUAUUUUACCUACGCUUAGGAUGUUGAGCGCAUGUCUCUCUCU